Molecule: ribosomal RNA, 388 nt
Filed under: uncultured bacterium
Lineage: Bacteria
Description: bacterial SSU rRNA
Rfam family: Bacterial small subunit ribosomal RNA
Source: RNAcentral
AUUGAACGCUGGCGGCAUGCCUUACACAUGCAAGUCGAACGGCAGCACGGGGGCAACCCUGGUGGCGAGUGGCGAACGGGUGAGUAACAUAUCGGAACAUACCCUAGAGUGGGGGAUAACGUAGCGAAAGUUACGCUAAUACCGCAUACGAUCUAAGGAUGAAAGUGGGGGGAUCUUCGGACCUCAUGCUCAUGGAGUGGCCGAUAUCUGAUUAGCUAGUUGGUGAGGUAAAGGCUCACCAAGGCGACGAUCAGUAGCUGGUUUGAGAGAACGACCAGCCACACUGGAACUGAGACACGGUCCAGACUCCUACGGGAGGCAGCAGUGGGGAAUUUUGGACAAUGGGGGCAACCCUGAUCCAGCAAUGCCGCGUGAGUGAAGAAGGCCU